RNAcentral lists this ribosomal RNA (253 nucleotides) under uncultured bacterium. RNAcentral describes it as "partial 16S ribosomal RNA". It matches the Rfam family "Bacterial small subunit ribosomal RNA", at positions 524 to 776 of the family's 1533-position model. The record is from RNAcentral.
UACAGAGGGUGCGAGCGUUAAUCGGAAUUACUGGGCGUAAAGCGCACGUAGGUGGCGACGUAAGUCGGGUGUGAAAGCCCCGGGCUCAACCUGGGAAUUGCAUUCGAGACUGCAUUGCUGGAGUACGGAAGAGGAAGGCGGAAUUCCCGGUGUAGCGGUGAAAUGCGUAGAUAUCGGGAGGAACAUCGGUGGCGAAGGCGGCCUUCUGGUCCAGUACUGACACUCAAGUGCGAAAGCGUGGGGAGCAAACAGG